RNAcentral lists this ribosomal RNA (467 nucleotides) under uncultured bacterium. Its description in RNAcentral is "partial 16S ribosomal RNA". It matches the Rfam family "Bacterial small subunit ribosomal RNA", at positions 28 to 506 of the family's 1533-position model. The record is from RNAcentral.
GACGAACGCUGGCGGCGUGCUUAACACAUGCAAGUCGAACGGAAAGGCCCUGCUUUUGUGGGGUGCUCGAGUGGCGAACGGGUGAGUAACACGUGAGUAACCUGCCCUUGACUUUGGGAUAACUUCAGGAAACUGGGGCUAAUACCGGAUAGGAGCUCCUGCUGCAUGGUGGGGGUUGGAAAGUUUCGGCGGUUGGGGAUGGACUCGCGGCUUAUCAGCUUGUUGGUGGGGUAGUGGCUUACCAAGGCUUUGACGGGUAGCCGGCCUGAGAGGGUGACCGGCCACAUUGGGACUGAGAUACGGCCCAGACUCCUACGGGAGGCAAAGGGGGGGAAUAUUGCACAAUGGGCGGAAGCCUGAUGCAGCAACGCCGCGUGCGGGAUGACGGCCUUCGGGUGGUAAACCGCUUUCGCCUGUGACGAAGCGUGAGUGACGGUAAUGGGUAAAGAAGCACCGGCUAACUACGU